GACUUUAUAACUCAGUUGGUUAGAGUACCACGUUAACAAUCGUUAACAAAUCGUGGAAACGGAUAAUACCGUGGAAGUCCCCGGUUCGAGCCCGGGUAAAGUCA
This is a non-coding RNA of Malassezia japonica, 104 nucleotides long. The record is from the annotation of a RefSeq genome assembly. NCBI's taxonomy places the organism in Eukaryota, Fungi, Basidiomycota, Malasseziomycetes, Malasseziales, Malasseziaceae.